This 663-nucleotide ribosomal RNA is filed under the name Triticum aestivum (bread wheat). RNAcentral describes it as "partial small subunit ribosomal RNA". The record is from RNAcentral. Lineage: Eukaryota; Viridiplantae; Streptophyta; Magnoliopsida; Poales; Poaceae.
AUGGUCUCAGCUAUUUUUGGCCCCAGGAGUACCAAUCUGAAGGAAAAUAUGCUGGUCAAGCUUAAGGCAGUGUAUACCUUGGUAGAGCAGCUGUACUCCGGGUCACAGCGUGCGUUGACCGAUGUGGCCUUGUCAAAUACCUCUCCCCGGCUCCUGCAAGACGUGUUGAGACAUCUGUUGGUGCUACCUCAACACAUUCAAGACUUAAGGCGGGCAUCCGCGAGAGCCAGAGCCGUGGCUGCGUUGAGUCGGGCAAAAGCAUGGGUGCCAGAACUUGACCUUGCUGACCUCUCUCUUGGAUAUCCAAGUCUUAAGAAGGACGGCACUACUUUUGGCGAACAGGACUUCACUGCCUGUGUUAAAGUCGUACGCCCCCUGGCGACUCUCAUUGGAGAGGAUACUGAUCUCACCAAGUAUUCGCCGGGCUAUGAUAGCGAGAACCGGAGAAUCCCAAAUGUCCCAUAUGACCAAGUCAGCCUGAUCCCUCCAACGCGUAAGUAUACCUUUGCCCCUGAAGUGGACCCGGCCAGUUUAAUAGAUGAUGAAGCUGAAUUUGAAGCUUUGGGCGGCAUUGACUGGGCCUCGUCCACCUUCCAGGACAAAACAACCGAAGGAGAGGCGGGGAAGGAUAAUCCGGAGUCAUCAAGCCAACCGGAGGAAUGA